Molecule: ribosomal RNA, 216 nt
Filed under: Glomeromycotina sp.
Lineage: Eukaryota; Fungi; Glomeromycota
Description: partial small subunit ribosomal RNA
Rfam family: Eukaryotic small subunit ribosomal RNA (bases 40-216)
Source: RNAcentral
GGGUCAGUAGGUUGGUCGUGCCACCGGUACGUACUGGUCUCACUGAUUCCUCCUUCCUGAAUAACCGUAAUUCCAUUAAUUUGGUGUUGCGGGUAAACAGGACUUUUACUUUGAAAAAAUUAGAGUGUUUAAAGCAAGCUAACGCUUGAAUACAUUAGCAUGGAAUAAUGAAAUAGGACGAUCGAUCCUAUUUUGUUGGUUUCUAGGAUUGACGUA